Molecule: ribosomal RNA, 1699 nt
Filed under: Pseudomugil gertrudae (spotted blue-eye)
Lineage: Eukaryota; Metazoa; Chordata; Actinopteri; Atheriniformes; Pseudomugilidae
Description: 16S ribosomal RNA
Rfam family: Bacterial large subunit ribosomal RNA (bases 102-1590)
Source: RNAcentral
UGCCCAAUAGCUAGCUCACAUCUCAACUUCAACACUCACGUAUUAAUAACCCCUAAAAUACUAAAUACCCUAACCAAAUCAUUUUUCCUCUUAAGUAUAGGCGAUAGAAAAAGAAUAUUGACGCAAUAGAUAAAGUACCGUAAGGGAACGCUGAAAGAGAAAUGAAAUAACCCAGUAAAGCAAAAAAAAGCAGAGCUUCCCCCUUGUACCUUUUGCAUCAUGUUUUAGCAAGAGUCUUUUGAGCAAAAAGCAUUUUAGUUCAAACACCCGAAACAAGGUGAGCUACUCCAAGACAGUCUUACUUAUAGGACUAACCCGUCUCUGUGGCAAAAGAGUGGGAAGAUCUUUGAGUAGAGGUGAUAAGCCUACCGAACCUUGUUAUAGCUGGUUGCCUGAGAAUUGAAUAGAAGUUCAGCCCCUUAAAAUUUUUCUCCUUUCUACCGUGGUAAAAACAAAGCAUAGAUCUAAAAGAAAUUUAGGGAGUUACUCAAAGGGGGUACAGCCCCUUUGAGAAAAGAAACAACUUUAUAAAGAAGGUUAAAGAUCAUAUUAUCAACUUAAGGUAAAAUAUUUUUGUGGGCCUAAAAGCAGCCAUCACACAAGAAAGCGUUAAAGCUCAAAUAUUUAACCAUAGACCCACAAUUCUGAUUAUAUACUCCAAAUCCACUUUUUAUAUCAGGCCUUCCCAUACAUUUAUGGGAGUGAUAAUGCUAGUAUGAGUAAUCAGAGGGCCUAGGCCCUCUCCUUGCACAAGUGUACCCCGGAACGGACCCCCCUCCGGAAAUUAUCGGCCCCAAUCUAAUAGAGGGCAUAGGGUUAAAAAAAGAAAACUAGAAAUUCCCCCUAACAUAACCGUUAAUCCCACACUGGCGUGCCCACAUGGAAAGACUAAAAGAAAAAGAAGGAACUCGGCAAACAUAUUUACAAGCCUCGCCUGUUUACCAAAAACAUCGCCUCCCGCUAAAAAAGAAUGAGAGGUCCCGCCUGCCCUGUGACAUAAGUUUAACGGCCGCGGUAAUUUGACCGUGCAAAGGUAGCGCAAUCACUUGUCUUUUAAAUGAAGACCUGUAUGAAUGGCAUAACGAGGGCUUAACUGUCUCCUUUUUCUAGUUAAUGAAAUUGAUCUCCCCGUGCAGAAGCGGGGAUACACCCAUAAGACGAGAAGACCCUGUGGAGCUUUAGACAACGGGGCAGAUCAUAUUCCUCUCCUCAAAUCAAAGAGCUAAAUAAUUGAAGCCCGCCCUAAUGUCUUUGGUUGGGGCGACCGCGGGGAAAUAAUUAACCCCCAUGUGGAACAAUACUUUUGUAUCUAAGCUGAGAGUGACAACUCUAAGUAACAGAACUUCUGACCAAAAAGAUCCGGUAAUACCGAUCAACGAAACGAGUUACCCCAGGGAUAACAGCGCAAUCCCCUUUUAGAGCCCAUAUCGACAAGGGGGUUUACGACCUCGAUGUUGGAUCAGGACAUCCUAAAGGUGCAGCCGCUUUUAAGGGUUCGUUUGUUCAACGAUUAAUAGUCCUACGUGAUCUGAGUUCAGACCGGAGUAAUCCAGGUCAGUUUCUAUCUAUGUAGUGUUCUCUUCUAGUACGAAAGGACCGAAGAGAAAAGGCCCCUGCUAAAAGCACGCCUCUUCUUUACUUAAUGUAACCAACUAAAAUAAGUAAAAAGACACCCCACCCCAGUCAAAAAUCAUGGCAA